RNAcentral lists this ribosomal RNA (127 nucleotides) under Ligula intestinalis. RNAcentral's name for it is "partial 5.8S ribosomal RNA". It matches the Rfam family "5.8S ribosomal RNA", at positions 30 to 154 of the family's 154-position model. Rfam says of the family: 5.8S ribosomal RNA (5.8S rRNA) is a component of the large subunit of the eukaryotic ribosome. It is transcribed by RNA polymerase I as part of the 45S precursor that also contains 18S and 28S rRNA. Functionally, it is thought that 5.8S rRNA may be involved in ribosome translocation. Lineage: Eukaryota; Metazoa; Platyhelminthes; Cestoda; Diphyllobothriidea; Diphyllobothriidae. The record is from RNAcentral.
GUGUCGACGAAGAGCGCAGCCAACUGUGUGAAUUAAUGUGAACCGCAGACUGCUUUGAACAUCGACCUCUUGAACGCACAUUGCGGCCGUAGGCUUGCCUACGGCCACGUCUGACCGAGGGUCGGCU